AUACGGGGGGAGCAAGCGUUGUCCGGAAUCAUUGGGCGUAAAGGGCGUGUAGGUGGUUUCGUAAGUCGAAUGUGAAAUCUCACGGCUCAACCGUGAAAUUGCGUUCGAAACUACGAGACUUGAGUUAGGGAGAGGUGUACGGAAUUCCUGGUGUAGCGGUGGAAUGCGUAGAUAUCAGGAAGAACACCAAUGGCGAAGGCAGCACACUGGCCUGUAACUGACACUGAGGCGCGAAAGCGUGGGGAGCAAACAGGAUUAGAUACCCUGGUAGUCCACGCUGUAAACGAUGGGUACUAGGUUUUGGGGGUCUCAACCCCUUCAGAGCCGUAGCUAACGCGUUAAGUACCCCGCCUGGGGAGUACGAUCGCAAGGUUGAA
This 377-nucleotide ribosomal RNA is filed under the name uncultured bacterium. RNAcentral's name for it is "bacterial SSU rRNA". It matches the Rfam family "Bacterial small subunit ribosomal RNA", at positions 523 to 898 of the family's 1533-position model. The record is from RNAcentral.